CUCCGAAGCUCAGCAGGCCCCUCCCCUCCCCUCCGCUGUCUGCCCGGCCGGCUGGGCCGAGCCUCCUUCACGCUCCCAUGAGGACCUCCCCUGUCAGCCUUUGUCGUCACCUGCCACGCCUCUCGGGACCACCACAGAUCACGGACACAAUUGAAAACACUGGUUAUAUUACCAAGGCUUUGACUGGAAUGUCAUGUUUGAGAGAGACGUGCAUAGACUCAGAUAUGACCAGACAGCUAUAAGGAACUAAAGUUGACUUUAUGGAACCAACAAAGCCCCUUGGAAGAACUGGCCUGACAUCUUGCUUACAGGGUUCCCAGCAGCCUGACCAGACUACAGUCUUUCAAGAUUAGAGUCCUAUUGUCAUGAAUAUUUAAGCCUCUACCAACUGAUAAAAUAGCUGACUUACUGAGACCCCAGGAUGAGCACCCUCACUGCACCAUCCUGACAGUCAGCAAGCAGAGGGACCCAGAAGGACUGCCCCUCACCAGCAGGAAGCAGCCAGGGCGGGCAUCACCCCUCAGCCCAGUGACCUGGGUCCUGACUGCUUGGGGGUGGAAUAUGAGGCGAAAGACCAACAUGAGUGGGAGGAAAAGAGGGUGGGGCCCACCAAGAACUCAGGGAGUUAAUCAGAUAAAGCCAGAAAGCCAGAGAUAAUGCAGAAGAUGAAUUAAAUAAAGCCACAGGGACUGAGAGUGACUUGAAGGGCAGUUACUCCCCACAUAACAACAACAAAAAAUCCCCAGAUGAAAACAUCACAGCACAGGCCCAUGUCUUCAAUCCUCCAAUCAGAUCAAGCCCUCAAGACCAAAGAAUGUCAAUCAAGAACUUCUCUACCUUGCCAAAAAAACCCAUAAAAGAAGCCUUCGGGUAAGCAGCCUGCCUUGGUCUACCUUGACUCUGGCCUGCUCCUUCCUUGGGGUGUAAUCAAAUAAACCUGCCUUUCGUCUACCUUGACUCUGGUCUGCUUCUCUGGAGAAUAUUCUAAUAAAACUUUCAUUCUGCUUCA
Molecule: long non-coding RNA, 1009 nt
Organism: Manis pentadactyla (Chinese pangolin)
Lineage: Eukaryota; Metazoa; Chordata; Mammalia; Pholidota; Manidae
Exons: 3
Source: RefSeq, a predicted model, not a curated record